AGCGGAGGGAUCAUUACUGAGUUAUUAAAACUCCAAACCCUUUGUGAACCUUACUGUCGUUGCCUCGGCGUGAGCUACGGCUACCCUGUAGUUACCCUAUAGCUACCCUGCAGCUACCCUAUAGUUGACCAGUAGCUACCCUGUAGUUACCCUAUAGCUACCCUGCAGCUACCCUAUAGUUGACAUGUAGCUACCCUGUAGCCGGCUUAUGGCCCGCCGAAGGACCGCUAAACUCUUGUUUUUUUACCACUGUUUCUCUGAAUUGUAAACUUAAAUAAGUUAAAACUUUCAACAACGGAUCUCUUGGUUCUGGCAUCGAUGAAGAACGCAGCGAAAUGCGAUAAGUAAUGUGAAUUGCAGAAUUCAGUGAAUCAUCGAAUCUUUGAACGCACAUUGCGCCCAUUAGUAUUCUAGUGGGCAUGCCUAUUCGAGCGUCAUUUCGACCCUUAAGCCCCUGUUGCUUAGCGUUGGGAAUCUACAGCGUAGUUCCUUAAAGUUAGUGGCGGAGUUAGGGUACACUCUCAGCGUAGUAAUCUUUCUCGCUCGUGUGGUGGCCCUGGCUGCUAGCCGUUAAACCCCUAUAUUUUCUAGUGGUUGACCUCGGAUUAGGUAGGAAUACCCGCUGAACUUAAGCAU
This 636-nucleotide ribosomal RNA is filed under the name Sordariomycetes sp. RNAcentral describes it as "eukaryotic LSU rRNA". The stretch from base 284 to 437 matches the Rfam family "5.8S ribosomal RNA". Lineage: Eukaryota; Fungi; Ascomycota; Sordariomycetes. The record is from RNAcentral.